Molecule: ribosomal RNA, 507 nt
Filed under: uncultured soil bacterium
Lineage: Bacteria
Description: bacterial SSU rRNA
Rfam family: Bacterial small subunit ribosomal RNA
Source: RNAcentral
AGAGUGAACGCUGGCGGUAGGCCUAACACAUGCAAGUCGAACGGCAGCACAGUGGUAGCAAUACCAUGGGUGGCGAGUGGCGGACGGGUGAGGAAUACAUCGGAAUCUACCUUUUCGUGGGGGAUAACGUAGGGAAACUUACGCUAAUACCGCAUACGCCCUUUGGGGGAAAGCCGGGGAUCGCAAGACCUGGCGCGGAUAGAUAAGCCGAUGUCGGAUUAGCUAGUUGGUGAGGUAAUGGCUCACCAAGGCGACGAUCCGUAGCUGGUCUGAGAGGAUGAUCAGCCACACUGGAACUGAGACACGGUCCAGACUCCUACGGGAGGCAGCAGUGGGGAAUAUUGGACAAUGGGCGCAAGCCUGAUCCAGCCAUACCGCGUGGGUGAAGAAGGCCUUGGUUGUAAAGCCCUUUUGUUGGAAAGUAAAAGCAAUCGGUUAAUACCGGUUGUUCUGACGGUACCAAAGAAUAAGACACCGGCUAACUCGUGCCAGCAGCCGCGUAAUCGU